AGGUGUUUAGUGCAGUGGUAGCACAGCAGUCCCAAAAACUGUUAGUAAGGGUUCGAAUCCUUUAACACCUGCCA
RNAcentral lists this transfer RNA (74 nucleotides) under Bacillus thuringiensis. RNAcentral describes it as "tRNA-Leu". It matches the Rfam family "tRNA". From Rfam's summary of the family: Transfer RNA (tRNA) molecules are approximately 80 nucleotides in length. Lineage: Bacteria; Bacillati; Bacillota; Bacilli; Caryophanales; Bacillaceae. The record is from RNAcentral.